UCUGUACUGAAAGCAGACCUUUUAAAUUGGAGAGAACAUUGUCAGUGUUUCAUUUUAGUGAGGGUAGAGAGGAGACAGAACUGCAUUUAUUAUUGGAAAUGUCAGGCAUACAAGGAUUUUAAUAGCUGGAAAGUAUUAAGAAAGAGGUACUAAUGAGGUCACUAGAGCAAGUGUCAGGUGUCUGAAAUACUUGGAAGGCUAGCAUUUUUAGCAGAACAAAAUAGAGAAUUAAGUUGGUACAGGCCUGUAAUCUAAGCUACUCAGGAGGCUGAGGCAGGAGGAACACAGGUUCAAGGCCAACCUCAGCAACUUUGUGAGGCCCUGUCUCAAAAUAAAGACUGGGGAUUUAGUGGUAGGGCAUAUGCAAGGCCCUGAGUUCAAUUCCUGAUACUGUGGGGGGGAUUUUUUUUUGGACAAACAUCAUGAGAGACAUAGGAGUGGUGAUAGGUAUCUAUGUUAUGAGGUUGACCUCUGGGAUAUUUUUAUAUCCUGUGUCAUGGACCCACUAUUUAUUGAGUGCCUAUUGUGGGUCAGGAACUAUGGUAGAUGCUGGGGCUACAGUGGUGACUCAGCAUGUUAAUAGACAUAGUGCUUGUUCUCAUGGAACUUUAAAGGCCAAAGCCUUAUUAGUAGGGGCUGAACAACAUUCCCAAUUGACUGUCUUAUGCCCUAUUAAUUCUGACCAGCACCCAUUCUUCUAAUAAUUUUUAUUUCUGACAGUUAGGUGUUGCCUUCUAAUAAAAAACACAUCUUGAUCUCCAGACCUCCAGACUUGACCUGCUGGGACCCAGCUCUAGGAUCCUACAUGUUAGUAUAUAGGAUCACGCUUCAGAAAUUUUCCUCCAUAGCCCUCAUCAGCUGCUUCUCCCAU
Molecule: long non-coding RNA, 871 nt
Filed under: Marmota monax (woodchuck)
Lineage: Eukaryota; Metazoa; Chordata; Mammalia; Rodentia; Sciuridae
Source: RNAcentral